GGGAAUGUAGCUCAGUGGUAGAGUGCUUGCCUAGCAGGUUCAAGGCCCUGGGUUCCACCCCCAGCAACCCCA
Molecule: transfer RNA, 72 nt
Filed under: Ictidomys tridecemlineatus (thirteen-lined ground squirrel)
Lineage: Eukaryota; Metazoa; Chordata; Mammalia; Rodentia; Sciuridae
Description: Spermophilus tridecemlineatus (thirteen-lined ground squirrel) tRNA
Rfam family: tRNA
About the family: Transfer RNA (tRNA) molecules are approximately 80 nucleotides in length. Their secondary structure includes four short double-helical elements and three loops (D, anti-codon, and T loops). Further hydrogen bonds mediate the characteristic L-shaped molecular structure. tRNAs have two regions of fundamental functional importance: the anti-codon, which is responsible for specific mRNA codon recognition, and the 3' end, to which the tRNAs corresponding amino acid is attached (by aminoacyl-tRNA synthetases). tRNAs cope with the degeneracy of the genetic code in two manners: having more than one tRNA (with a specific anti-codon) for a particular amino acid; and 'wobble' base-pairing, i.e. permitting non-standard base-pairing at the 3rd anti-codon position.
Source: Rfam by way of RNAcentral